This is a long non-coding RNA of Paramacrobiotus metropolitanus, 799 nucleotides long. RefSeq lists it as uncharacterized. The transcript has 3 exons. NCBI's taxonomy places the organism in Eukaryota, Metazoa, Tardigrada, Eutardigrada, Parachela, Macrobiotidae. The record is from RefSeq and is a predicted model, not a curated record.
GCUUUGCAGUCAGUAAAGUGAGUAAACAUUUUUGGCGUUUUCGUAAAAUUUUAAAGUUUCUGUAGUUUCAGCGAUUUCGCUUCUGACCCUGCAGAACUUAUUAAUAUUAAAGCAGUUUUCACUUUUGCGGUAAAUUUAAUAAUACGGUUCGGCACCAUGGGCAAAGUCGCUCUGAACUGCGGACAACUUGCAAACUUGAGCGACUUCGCUUGUUCUCCUGGCUUCUGGGCUGAUGACGUUUAUGCCCGUUCUCGCGUUUCCUUUCCUGAUUUGUCCUCCAAAAACCCCGCUACAACCUAGGGAUAGCUGAAAAGCCAUAGAGGAGAAGCAGUGGCAUGCAGAACGAGCCAUGUCAACGGAAAGCGGAGUCGCAUUCGCCACAUUACUAAAGAUGAUUUCAUUUAUUUGACUUGCCACCAGUCGUUAUUGUAUCCUGAACUUCGCGACGUAUGGCGGACAGCAGGAAUGAGCGAGACCGCAUUGCGCAAGUGUAUUUGAGCAGCUCGCGAACGGAGAGUUUUGGCUGGCCUGAUGACAGCUGCCUUCAACGGCUGGAAGGAUUAACACGUGAAAUCCUACGCCAAGAAAGACAAUAUUUUAGGACAGAUCUCGGGUAAAACGAAAUCGUUUUUGGUAGAACUAAAGAUCGACGCGUUUGAUCUAUUAUUAAUUGUGCGGUCGAUGUUGUUUUUUGUUUUUCUCCAGCGAUGUGAUAAUAGCUGUGUUUUAAUUUACUGGUGUUGGCAAUAUUUUUCUAAGCGUUUGUUACAGCGGUGUAUUUAUUAACAAAACUGGUAAA